CCUUGGGACUUUCUCCCUCCCCGGACAGCAAACUGUGGGGGAUUAAAAAGGGGCAGCCAGAUGCACAGACGGGAAAUGGAUACGGCGGAGCAAGGCGCUCUCUCAAGAUGCGCUGUGCGCGCUGGCCCUGCCCUGCCUAAAUUAUUCAAACAGGAUAUUGCCUCAUUGAGGACUGCUUCGGGGCUUAGGGAAUAGGCUAGUGCAAUAACAAAGCUUCCCAUUUCUGUUGAAACUGUACGUCAAUUCUGCCUCCAAACCACCAUGAGGAAAAAAGAAAAUGCAAAUGAGUGAGCAAAGGAUCCGAAGGUGCUAG
This is a long non-coding RNA of Manis pentadactyla (Chinese pangolin), 313 nucleotides long. RefSeq lists it as uncharacterized. NCBI's taxonomy places the organism in Eukaryota, Metazoa, Chordata, Mammalia, Pholidota, Manidae. The record is from RefSeq and is a predicted model, not a curated record. The transcript has 3 exons.